UGCCUGCCGGCGACCGGCGCACGGGUGAGUAACACGUAUGUAACCUGCCCUAUGCAGGGGGAGUAACCCGGAGAAAUCCGGCCUAAUACCGCGUAACACCUUUUGGGAGCAUUCCCGGGAGGGUUAAAGGAGAGAUCCGGCAUAGGAUGGACAUGCGUCGCAUUAGGUAGACGGCGGGGUAACGGCCCACCGUGCCGACGAUGCGUAGGGGUUCUGAGAGGAAGGCCCCCCACACUGGUACUGAGACACGGACCAGACUCCUACGGAAGGCAGCAG
This 276-nucleotide ribosomal RNA is filed under the name uncultured bacterium. Its description in RNAcentral is "partial 16S ribosomal RNA". It matches the Rfam family "Bacterial small subunit ribosomal RNA", at positions 82 to 354 of the family's 1533-position model. The record is from RNAcentral.